RNAcentral lists this transfer RNA (73 nucleotides) under Patescibacteria group bacterium. Its description in RNAcentral is "tRNA-Lys". It matches the Rfam family "tRNA". From Rfam's summary of the family: Transfer RNA (tRNA) molecules are approximately 80 nucleotides in length. Their secondary structure includes four short double-helical elements and three loops (D, anti-codon, and T loops). The record is from RNAcentral.
GGGUCUGUAGCUAAAUGGAUAAAGCAGUUGGUUCUUACCCAAAAGAAUGUGGGUUCGACUCCCACUGGACCCA